GGAGAAUUUUGGGGGGGUUGCGAGCUGGGGGUGCAGCCCCCGUGCACCGGGGAGGGCGCAGGGGGGGGUUUAUCCCCUCCCCAACCCCCCCGGGGGUCCCCUGGUGCCUUGCAGCCGCCUGCCUGGAGGCUCCGGACGCGGGGCCGUGCCGCUCCUACUCGCCCAAGUGGUUCUUCGAGGAGCCCGGGCGCUGCUCCCUCUUCUGGUACGGGGGCUGCGGGGGGAGCCGCAACCGCUUCGAGAGCCGGGAGCAGUGCGAGGCCCUCUGCGUGGCUCCGGGCGCCGGGGGGAGCCGGGACCCCCUCCCCAAAAACUCCUCCGCCUGCGCUCCCGGCUGCUGACGCGCGCUUUGAGGGUACCCCAAAAAAAUAUAAACCAUUCCCUGGAGACGCUGCCGCCCCUCCUCACCUCUCCCGGCCUCCGUGGGGUGGGGGGAGGAGGAUUUUGGAGGGUUUUGGAGGGUUUUGGAGGAUUUUGGAGGGUUUUGGAGAGCUCCGGCACGGCGAGGGGGCGCAGAGCCCUGGCACCGCUCCGCGCGCCCCUCUGCCUGCGAGGCUGAGGAAGGGGUUUGGGGGGGGGGUUAAAAUAAAACCUCGCGGCCCGUUUCACGCCUGCUGGUGCUGUGGGGCCGGGGGGAGGCGAGGGGAUGAGGGGGGGGCGCCCCGGAGCUGCGGGGAACCCCGGCCAGGCGCGCCGCGUCCCGGCCAGAUGCAGCUGCAGCGUCCCGGGGGGGAGCUGCGGGGGCCGGAGCCAGGCGAGGGGGGAGGCAGCUGCGCUGCUGGCCGGCUCCCAUCCCGGAGGGGGGGGGCACAGCUCCCUGUUCCCACCCCCCCCCGUCCCCUCCCCGGGCUCCUUUCCCUGCUCCAGCCACGAUUCUGCGGUGCUUGGGAGCGCAAAGCUCCUCCGGGGUGUGGGGAGGGAGGGGGGCAUAAAUGGGGGCGCUCUGCUCUCCGUGGGGGUGGCAGGGACCCCCCCCCACAGCCGGCUCCGUCACGGGGGUGUCCCCAGGAACAGCUCCGGGACCUGGUUUCUUCCCCUCGUCCUUUAUUCGGCUCCGAGGGGACACUUUUGGCACAUUUGGGGACAUUUUCAGCUGGGCAUCCAGCUGGGGACUGCGGCGGAAUCGCCCCCCAGGCCGGUGCUCCAAGCCCCAGCCGAGGUCACUGGGCAAGCAGAGAAGCAGAAUGGAGAAUUUUGGGGGUUUUAAAUGUUUUUUGGGUUUUUUAA
Molecule: long non-coding RNA, 1227 nt
Filed under: Anas platyrhynchos (mallard)
Lineage: Eukaryota; Metazoa; Chordata; Aves; Anseriformes; Anatidae
Description: lncRNA (ENSAPLG00020007521.1)
Source: RNAcentral